CAAAAAUGAAUUGCCAAGUCACUAAUACCAAACCCCAAACAGGCAAUUCAAAUUCCAGGCGGGAGAUGAAAACUUCAUUCCAGAACGAGAUCUUCAUCUCUCAAACCAGAGUUUCCCAAAUCCAAGUCAGCCCUAAACCCCAAAUUCAAAAUUAAUUCGAAACUGAAGGCUCCCAAAAGGCGAUUCUUUGAAACCGUUGACAUGGAGAGAACAAAUGGAGGUAAUUCAGAAAAAUGUUUCAUUUUAUAUUUUAAUAUCACUGUCUUUGUACUGCAACUAAGAUUUUCGAAGCAUUUCCUUUUGUUGUUCAAGGCUUUGAUUUUGUUGUUCGAGGUUCCGGUUGUUCAAGGCUCUGGUAAUUCAGGAAAAUGUCCCCUUUUGUUGUUCAAGACUCCGAUUUUCAAUUUCAAAUUUUUCUAAGAUUAUCGUAGCAUUUAUUCUUGUUUAUAGGUUAAAAUGACCAGUAGUUAAGCUAAAUAACUAUAAAGUUUAUGCUUAAAUUUUCUAUGUAAUUGAACCGCAAGAGUUAAGAAACGGGAUAUAGUGUUCAGUUUUAUUUUCUAUGUGAAUGACCAGUAGUUUUAUUUUUGUUCUAUGUUAUUGAAAGCUCAAGUAUAGGAUUACAGGAUAGAGUGUUCAGUUUUUCUGACUGUUUUUAUUCUUUAUUUGAUUGCCAUUAUUUUUUUUUACAAUCGAUAGUUCCUAAUCAUGGAAUUUAUACACAGGAAACGUUCAGUUCGAAUCACUUCGAGAUGUCCCUCGACUUAACCAUCUGAAAGGGUAAAGGAGACACGGAAAGGGCAUCUAUUUCACCUGUCUACUUGAGAAGAAGAAUUAGCUUUAAAUUUCAUGGCUUUGUAAUACAGAAUAAAAUAUUCAUGCUUAACAUUUUAUUAUUGUUGAUGUUAAAACUGGUGAAUUUUUCCUAUUCUUAAAAUUUGACGUUGCCAUGUAAUGGAGCCUAUGAAUGGUUUAAUUAGUUUAAAUAAGUGUUUAAUUACUUAAAAAUGACUGAGGUUGAUCACCAUACAGUUUCAUUAGUUUAAAUAUGUGUUCAAAAGCAUCCGUGAAUUGUACUGCCGCAUUAAGC
This 1090-nucleotide long non-coding RNA is filed under the name Olea europaea subsp. europaea. The record is from RNAcentral. Lineage: Eukaryota; Viridiplantae; Streptophyta; Magnoliopsida; Lamiales; Oleaceae.